Mytilus californianus (California mussel) is the source of this 177-nucleotide long non-coding RNA. RefSeq lists it as uncharacterized. Lineage: Eukaryota; Metazoa; Mollusca; Bivalvia; Mytilida; Mytilidae. The record is from RefSeq and is a predicted model, not a curated record. The transcript is spliced from 3 exons.
UACACUUAUGCCAAUGUUAAAAUACGAGAAAAACGGAGAAUCAACUCUGAGCGACGGUCAAAAGUGUCUCAAGACUCUGGAGAAUGGACAGAUGAUUGUUCUGGUAGCAUAACUGAUACAUUGGACAAGGCAGACGAUGAUGUUACACUUCGCUUUCGAACAUCUUCUGGAGUCCAA